CCAGAGAACUUAGCAGAGAUGCUUUGGUGCCUUCGGGAACUCUGAGACAGGUGCUGCAUGGCUGUCGUCAGCUCGUGUUGUGAAAUGUUGGUUAAGUCCCGCAACGAGCGCAACCCCUAUCCUUUGUUGCCAGCGAUUCGGUCGGGAACUCAAAGGAGACUGCCGGUGAUAAACCGGAGGAAGGUGGGGAUGACGUCAAGUCAUCAUGGCCCUUACGAGUAGGGCUACACACGUGCUACAAUGGCGCAUACAAAGAGAAGCGACCUCGCGAGAGCAAGCGGACCUCAUAAAGUGCGUCGUAGUCCGGAUUGGAGUCUGCAACUCGACUCCAUGAAGUCGGAAUCGCUAGUAAUCGUAGAUCAGAAUGCUACGGUGAAUACGUUCCCGGGCCUUGUACACACCGCCCGUCACACCAUGGGAGUGGGUUGCAAAAGAAGUAGAUAGCUUAACCUUCGGGAGGGCGUUUACCACUUUGUGAUUCAUGACUGGGGUGAAGUCGUAACAAGGUAAGCGUAGCGAG
Molecule: ribosomal RNA, 520 nt
Filed under: uncultured bacterium
Lineage: Bacteria
Description: bacterial SSU rRNA
Rfam family: Bacterial small subunit ribosomal RNA
Source: RNAcentral